CAAGGUUUUUUACAAGAAACGAAUUAUCUUCAAGACACGGCACAUCUUUGUUUUUGGAUAAUAACACAGUGUGGGUAGAGUUUUUGCACUAGUAAGGUGCUGCUUUUAUAUUAUUGCACAUUUUCUUUAAACUAAUAAUUUUUAGCGCCAUCUUUUACUUGUUUAUAUUUGUAAAAAAUCCCACAAACCAAGGAGAGGGUUAAAUGAAGGCAGUCUGAUUUCUCUUCAAUGUUUUGGAGUGUCUUAUGGACAAAUAUAAUGUUGUUUUGGGUGUUUUUGGGGGACACUAUGAAACUCUCCUGCUACAGUUAAUGCUUCACAUGAGUACCGCUAAAAAUUCCCACUAUGUCAAAAAGAGCAGAUAAACAUGUGAUUCUUGGUUUGUUGGGUUUUGUUUUUUAUUUAUUUAUUCCUUUUUUUUUUUUUUAAGUUUGUGAAAAUCACACAAAAAAAGAACCUGAAUAGUCAUAUGACCUAUGUUAAGGCUUUUGUCAUACCAUAUAGUAUAGGCUAAUAAUCUGUAGCAGAGUACCUUAUUGCCUUAUCUAUGAUUUAAGCGGUCCUACAAUCCUAUGUAGUAAGUUUUAAUUUUAUUUUUAAAAUAAAUAAAUAUAUACACACACACACCUCCCCUUCCCUCCCCCUCACCAAAUUCAGAGUAGGAUUUGACAGGUAAAUAACUUUUUGGUUAAUAGUACUACCUGCUGCCUGCUCGUAUUACAUGUUCAGGUGAGUGCAGCCUCUUGGUUUCAUUUAUAUAUUUGGGAGUCCAGGCCAACUCCCUGGUUUUGCACCCCUCCCUGUUACAGAUGCCUCAUUCCAGGACCCUAUUAUCCUUGACUUGCAGUGAGUCCUAGGAGGAAGCAUUUUCCAAGUAAGUGGAUUAAUUUCAUAAGAGCAAGCAUUAGGCUAAUAGAGUAGGACCUGCCAAGAAUGGGAUACACUGACAUUUUGGCAGGCUUAUACAGUGUAUGAUCAUAUACUGUAACUAAAACCCCUAUAAUUUUUGCGUAGAUUAGGU
This is a non-coding RNA of Pelobates cultripes (western spadefoot toad), 1021 nucleotides long. The record is from the annotation of a GenBank genome assembly. NCBI's taxonomy places the organism in Eukaryota, Metazoa, Chordata, Amphibia, Anura, Pelobatidae.